AAGAGUGUACAUACUCCUGCCUGCGCUGCGAAGCACCGUAUCAUUUUCUCAUUUCUCCCGAAGCUGCAACAAUGGCUUGGCGCGGUUCUCUUUCCCGAUCGCUCAUGUCCACCGCUAGGGCUUCCGCUUCCCGUUCAUCGCCGCCCUGCGUCCUGCUCCCGUUUCUUCCUCUCGCCUCAACUCACCGCGCCUCUCCUUUUCCAAUCCCAGGUACCUGAAUAUAUUUGUACCAGAAGAGCCAAUGCUCAAAUCUCGGACUUGGUUAAUAGGUGGUUCUGCGGGAAUUCUCUUUGGGGAAUAUUAAAAUUAAAUUAACAAUAUGCUUCUUCAUGUUUACUCUAGACUAUUUCAGGUGGAGUCUAAAUUUAAGACGAUUUUUGAGGUAGCUGAAUACUUGUGUUCAUAAUAGUGGUGCUGCUGGGCCGGAAACUGCCGGUUUUGGUUCCACAUAACUGGUCAUACAAGGGUUUCGGAGGUUCUUGUUUUGAACCGAAACAUGCAACUCUAGUUAGGUUUUUUUUCUUUUUUAAGUGGUUGUCCUGUUGCAGACUAUUUUUGCUUUUCUUAAAGGAGAUCGAUAAUGAUUCCUAUUUACUUAAUGACCGUUGUGAUCCAAACAUUUGACCUAUUAAUUAGAGGGGAGACAUCUUACUUACUAAGAUGUACUUCAUCGUCAUUAUCCAA
Salvia splendens (bonfire salvia) is the source of this 684-nucleotide long non-coding RNA. RefSeq lists it as uncharacterized. NCBI's taxonomy places the organism in Eukaryota, Viridiplantae, Streptophyta, Magnoliopsida, Lamiales, Lamiaceae. The transcript is spliced from 2 exons. The record is from RefSeq and is a predicted model, not a curated record.